This 4957-nucleotide long non-coding RNA is filed under the name Malus domestica (apple). Its description in RNAcentral is "long non-coding RNA (MDOM_LNC000970)". The record is from RNAcentral. Lineage: Eukaryota; Viridiplantae; Streptophyta; Magnoliopsida; Rosales; Rosaceae.
ACCGUUCAAUUAGGAGGGGAGUAAAGGGAAGGGAAGGGAAAAAAAGAUGGGAAAGAAUCCUACUCCUUGAAUUACAAAUCCAAGAGUAAUGGUAUAGGUAAAUUCUCUUAAAAGUGGGCUUUGAACUUUUUAUCAUCUCAUAUUUUGCAUCAUGUUCUGUUGAUGCACAAAACUGGAGGUCUUGGAACAACGUAAAUCCAACCGUGAAUCUGCAAGAAAUGUAAAUAACACAAGAUGUAUUGUGGUUCACCCUAAGGUUUGGGUUACGUCCACACUGAUUGUAUUUCUCUGACUGUAUGUAUGGAUUACAAGGGUGAGGGGGAGUCCCCCGGAGAAAGAGAGUGUUGUUGUGUUUGUGAGAGUAUUGCCCUCUGUUGGGUUUUCUCUGUCCCAUUUGUGAGGGGAGAGGAGUCCCCUUUUAUAGAAUAAGGGGCUCCUCCUUUUACAUAAUCAUAUGGGCUGGAUAAUGAGGCCCAAUGUAUCAAAGUAUGAGGCCCAAUAUGUGUGGUACCAACAGUAGUCCCCCAAGUCUUCAGUCAAGAGAGUCUUUUGGCUGGAGACUUCAAAUCCAAUCCAUGUACGGGCCGAAGUGGCUAGAUGUCUUGAAUUAGUACUCAACCCAAGGCAAUACUCAACAUAAAACAAUACUCGGCUAGAGGUAUCACACGUUACGAGACUGCUUGGUUGGAGGCGAUGCUCGUUGCGAGGCUGCUCGGCUAGAGGUUAUGCUCGCGGCGAGGCGUUUGCUCGACUGGAGUCGAUGCUCGUUGCAAGGCGGCUUGGCUAGAGGCUAUACUCACUACGAGACGGCUCGGCUCGUGGUAUUCCUCAUUGCAAGUAUCUACUUUAUGUCAACAUGCACUCAGUAUGAGUUGAUUCUCGACAUGACUCGGGUCCGCUUGUCGGGUUUGCAUAUUGGGUCUAUGUGUCGGAUUCGCAGAUCGGGUCCGCAAGUCGGGUCUUUGAGUCGGGGCCAUACAUAGGGUCAUCGAGUUGGGGCUAUCUGUAGGGUCAUCGAGUUGGGUCCAGGCACAUAGGUGUCCCAAUAAGCGAAUGUCCGAGCAAGUGGGCGUCCGGUCCGACAAGAGAUCAUCGUUGGACUAAAUCUUUGUCACCAUAAGCAUGUGGCUCAGUGAUCUAUAGGCUGAUCAAUAGUAUCGGUAUGCUUCUUUAAUUAGCAACAAUGUUGAUCAACAAAGUCUGUGCCAUGAACCUCCAAAAUUAUGUCACCUUAACAUUCAAAUAAUAAAAGGUGUAAUUUGGUCAGACUUGUCACAUGUUAUGGAAAAUAGUCAUGUGAUAAAUCAUUAAUAAUAAUGUAAAACAUAUUAUUAUAACAUGUCACCCCGUUCGUUUAGGUAGUAAUGCAAUUUGUAUAACAGUAAAAUACUGAUAGUAGUAAUGAUGUGUAUGCGUCGUGACCCGACAUAAUUAGUACACAGCAGUACUGGAAAAGCAGAUAUUGUGAGGUGCCGCACUAUAUGCACACAGAUCAUGAAAGCAAAUAAUAUAUUGCUAACUAUGCAUUAAAAUAUAAGUGUGAUAGAAAUGAUGUGGUCUCCUCAAAGAAUAUGCAUACUGUAAAGCGUCCAUCAACACAAAAUAAUAAUAAACUAUUAAAUAAUAAAUUAGUUCACGAAUAAUUAAAUAAUAAACUAUUUAAUAAUAAUGUGGUCUCGUUUGCUAUUGCACAAGCAGUGGAACGUGAUGACAGCCAUGAAAGAAAUAAUGUGGUCUCUAAUAUGCAUACUGUAAAGCAAAAUAUCUUAUCAAAAUAAUGAUAAAGUAAUAAAAUAAUAAAGAAAAAGAUCUUAUCUUGCUAAAGAGAUGGGAUCUCUGUAUUGGGAACCCAAAAGCUUCUUUUCCCUUCCUCUCAAGUAGCUGGCCAACCUUUGUCAGUCCUGCAAUUUCCGAGUCAAGCAUCCAGGCCGGCGACGCUGAGUCCGGUCAGACCGAGAGAGUGGAACGUGUCCAGCUGAGAGUUACGGCGUGACGGAGCUGUAACGGCAUUGGGACGGAGCAGCGAGUUGGAAAAUGACCAGUCGAAGUUGUGGUCCAUGAGGCAGUAGGAAAAUGACAUGCUACUUGAAUUGGGAUGGAAACGAGAGUGAGCCGCCGUCGAGUCCGAGAAGCCCAGCUGCUCCGACGAACAGGCCCUCGUUGGUGUGGCCACAGCCGAUGGCAAUCCUCUUCGUCGAAGUCCCGCCUAUGCUGAUUGUCUCCGUCACAAAGUCGCCGUCGAUCUUGAAGAGGUACUCCUCCCCUAAACCCUCAUCGUCUGAAGACGACAUCUCGCUCGCCUUUUCUCCCUGGUUCUUGCUUGCUUCUUCUUCUUUCUUAGGUCAAGGAGGCUGACAGUGAGCGAGCGUCGGUGACUGGCGCGGCAGCUCGAGACAUGGGAAUUCCGGCAUCGAAGUCCAUGGCUCCGUCGCCGGUGAGAGAGAGACAGUAAGUUAAGUCGUCGUCAGCAGCGUCACUUUAGCAAACCCCACCGGAAUUCCCAUUCAUUCACUCACCCUCGCCCCCUCAACUACCCGGCACUUUACCCGAAUCUCCCUCUCAACGAUCAGACACACACGCACACACACUAUAUCUCUCCUCUCUCUCCUCUCUCUCUAUCUAAACCAGACCAAACAAAGAAAACAGAUAGCCAAAUUAACAAGAAUAACAGCUUUCUAGAGAGAGAAACUUUUACAUGGAGAGAGAGAAAGUAGUUUUAAGAGAGAGAUGAUGAGAGGGACAGAGAGAGAGAAAGCGGUGUGUUCUUCAAUCCCUCGGUAGGUGUUUGGUUUCUUCUGUUUUGCAGAUUCACGGCGGAUAUGAAAAAAUGAAAGAGAAUCGACACAAUUUUUUGUAUCAUUUUUCAUAAAUGACACCAAAUGUUGAUGCACAAAACCGGAGGUCUUGGAAUAACGUAAAUCCGACCGUGAAUCUGCAAGAAAUGUAAAUAACACAAGAUGUAUCGUGGUUCACUCCAAGAUUUGGACUACGUCCACACUGAUUGUAUUUCUAACUGUAUAUAUGGAUUACAAGGGUAAGGGGGAGUCAGGGAGAGAAAGAGAGUGUUGUUGUGUUUGUGAGGGUAUUACCCUCUGUUGGGUUUUCUUUGUCCCAUUUGUGAGGGGAGAGGAGUCCCCUUUUAUAGAAUAAGGGGCUCCUCCUUUUAUAUAAUCAUAUGUGCUGGGUAAUGAGGCCCAAUGUAUCAAAGUAUGAGGUCCAAUAUGUGUGGUACCAACAUGUUCUAUAAAUUUGGCACGAGAAUUACUAUAAAAUUGUAAAGUGGUUGGAAGUAUGUGAAAAGUUCUACUUUGAGAGAGUUUCUUUAGCAUUUCUCACAAAUCCAAAAUCAAAUAAUAAUGAUAAAAAUGCUAAGGAAAUUUUCUUAAAGUGAGAUUUUUCAUGGUCCCUUUGUCACUUUAGAGUUUAACAUUAAUUUUUGUUUCAAUAUUAUAAAACGCUGUAAAAAAAAAAAAUAUGAGAUGAUAAAGAGUUUAUAGAGAAAUCUACUUUUGAGAAUCUCCUUAUCAUUUAUUAAUAAUAGAAGUGAUUUGUUGGAGUAAGUAUGUUUUUAUUUAAAUAUUUUAAUUGCUAUGUAUUUGUCCGUUGUGGUUUUAUAUUUUAGUUUAUUACAACCAUUAAAUGUAUAUAACCUAAAUUGAUUUUUAACCUUAUCUUUUGAUAAGGAGUAAUCUCCUUCACUAACCUAUGAAACGUGAGAAAGCUUCUCACAUUAAAUAAUUAGAUGGAAUUCCUUCUUUGAAUAGAGAAGAUGAUCAGGUCCCCAUUCAUUAUUUUGUUCCGUUUUGAAUAUUUACUUUUUGAUUUCGUCUGUUUUGGUUCUUUAAGGUUUUCAGGUCCCUGAUUCUGUCAAACUUGCAACAUAUACUUUAUCUUUUUGUAUAUAUAUAGGUUCCUUGUACUGAAGGAAUAUAUAGAGAAACAACAGCUUAUAUAUUUUUCUUAAAAAUUGAGUUCUAAAGCAACAUAUAGAAAGGGUGUGAGUUUAAAGUACUAAGAAAUAUCAAGUUCAAGUUGGUCAUCCAUUAUUUCAAUUCUUCAAAACUGCAUUGAUGUGUACACUCCUAUAGUCCUUGAAGCUUCACUAAUACUAAUAGUUCACCGGACUAAGCCUUUUACAUUUCUCGAUAACGUAAAAACGAGCCAAAAAACUCAACCAUCAGAAAAUGACGAUAUUACCUUUUAAAAUGUAUCGCAUGUAAGUAACAUGACUUAAAUGAACAUAAAAUUAAAUAAAAUAGAUUCGAAUCUUUAUAAUAGGGAUGAAGUUAGUAGGUUUUUUAAUGAGUUUAAAGAUUUAUUUUAUCGCAAAAAUAGUUUAGAGACUUAAUUUCACUCAGAUAAUAAUCAGUGACCAAAUCGGCAGUUUACUGUGUAUUUAAAGCUAAAAAUGAGACAAAUUUUAGGAGCAACACAUGUGAAAGUAUAAAACUACAAACUUUGGCUUUGAAACAAUCCUCUUCCAUUUCCUCACCUUUCCGGAUUCUAUUGCAAUUGGCAUUGCCAGGGUUGGUUGGUUUUCAUCUCAGAUGUCAUUUACUCUCUACUAGGACAUCUCAAUGUGAGAUCAAAUGAGAUUAAACACAUGAGAUUCGAGGCACAUAAUGUGAUCUAGAGUGCCCUUAUACAUCAUUCAGUACCCAAUAUAUACUGACCUAUUACAAUAGCUCAAUAAUAUUACAACAUCUGUUCAUUUAAAUUCAUAACCAAACACUAAUUCCACUUUGUACUCAUAACCAAACACCCCUUUUUUUAGUUUUCUCUUAUCCGUGCCGUUGCAAAUAUGAUCAACCUCAUCUUCUUCCAUGUCAAUCAAUACAAAACCUUCCAUGAAACCAUUUCAUGAUUCGUUGUCACCUUCCUCCCCCACUGACAUGGCUGCCAUGAGAAAUAAGGGGACGGAUUGGGGGUGGAGUCGAUGGUAGAGACGAGUGGGAAU